Molecule: non-coding RNA, 73 nt
Organism: Ixodes scapularis (black-legged tick)
Lineage: Eukaryota; Metazoa; Arthropoda; Arachnida; Ixodida; Ixodidae
Source: Rfam
UCCUGGUUAGCUCAGUUGGUAGAUCUCUGCACUGGAAAUGGAGAGGUUCCUGAUUCAAUACCAGGACCAGGCG